RNAcentral lists this ribosomal RNA (1720 nucleotides) under Proteobacteria bacterium JGI 0000113-E04. RNAcentral's name for it is "bacterial LSU rRNA". It matches the Rfam family "Bacterial large subunit ribosomal RNA", at positions 1165 to 2925 of the family's 2925-position model. The record is from RNAcentral. Lineage: Bacteria; Pseudomonadati; Pseudomonadota.
CGAAAAUGACCGGAACUAAGUUUUUUGCCGAAGCUGUGGAUAUAGACACUUAAAGUGCUAUGUGGUAGAGGAGCGUUCCGCAUGGGGGGAAGCCAAGCGCGUAAGCAGCGGUGGACAGUGCGGAAGUGAGAAUGUCAGAUUGAGUAACGAAAACAUUGGUGAGAAUCCAAUGCCCCGAAAACUUAAGGGUUCCUCUGCAAGGCUCGUCCGCAGAGGGUUAGUCAGGACCUAACAUGAGGCCGAAAGGCGUAAUGGAUGGCAAGAAGGUUUAUAUUCCUUCACUAUUGUUUUCUUAGUCCUGAGGGACGAACAAAUGCACACCUUUUUUGUGUCCAGGCUUGGCAGCUUGGAAGUCACACACGAAUGGUUGGACAUUUUUUCCAAGAAAAGCUCAUUCGACUUUGAGAAAAUAAUACCUGUACCGUAAACCGACACAGGUGAGUGGGUUGAAUAAACUAAGGGGAGCGAGAUAACUCUCUCUAAGGAACUCGGCAAAUUGGCUCUGUACCUUCGGAAGAAAGAGUGCCCUGUAAAGGGCCGCAGUGAAGAGAUCCAGGCGACUGUUUACCAAAAACACAGGUCUCCGCAAAGUCGCAAGACGAAGUAUGGGGGCUGACACCUGCCCAGUGCCAGAAGGUUAAAGAAGUUGGUCAAUCUUCGGAUGAAGCUGACAACUGAAGCCCUGGUGAACGGCGGCAGUAACUAUAACUGUCCUAAGGUAGCGAAAUUCCUUGUCGGGUAAGUUCCGACCCGCACGAAAGGUGUAACGAUCUGGAUACUGUCUCAGAGAGAGACUCGGUGAAAUAAAAAUAUCUGUGAAGAUGCGGAUUACCUGCACACGGACAGAAAGACCCUAUGAAGCUUUACUGUAACCUGGAAUUGCUCUCAAGCUUAUUUCGCGCAGCUUAGGUGGGAGACGUUGAACCUUUUCUUCCGGGAAAGGGGGAGUCAUCAGUGAGAUACCACUCUUGGUAAGCUAGAGCGCUCAUUUUUAACCGUUAUCCGGUAAAAAGACAGUUUCAGGCGGGCAGUUUGACUGGGGCAGUCACCUCCCAAAGGGUAAUGGAGGUGUACAAAGGUUCUCUCAGGCUGGACGGAAAUCAGCCAUAGAGUGUAAAAGCAUAAGAGAGCUUGACUGCGAGACGGACAUGUCAAGCAGAGACGAAAGUCGGUUUUAGUGAUCCGACGGUGCUGAGUGGAAAGGCCGUCGCUCAACGGAUAAAAGUUACUCUAGGGAUAACAGGCUAAUCUCCCCCAAGAGUUCACAUCGACGGGGAGGUUUGGCACCUCGAUGUCGGCUCGUCGCAUCCUGGAGCGGAAGUACGUUCCAAGGGUUGGGCUGUUCGCCCAUAGAAAGCGGUACGUGAGCUGGGUUCAGAACGUCGUGAGACAGUUUGGUCCAUAUCCUGUGUAGGCGUUUAGAGCAUUGAAAGGAUCUCCCCUUUGUACGAGAGGACCAGGUGGGGACAGACCGCUAGUGUACCAGUUAUUCCGCCAGGGGUAAACGCUGGGUAGCUAUGUCUGGAGUAAAUAACUGCUGAAAGCAUAUAAGUAGGAAGUUCACCUUAAGAUGAGUGCUCUUUUGUCAGCAAUGCCAUUUUGGCAUGCAACUAAGACAAGCAAGGUCACGGCAAGACCAGCCGUUUGAUAGGCAUGAUGUAGAAGUACAGCAAUGUAUUCUGAAGCUGACAUGUCCUAAUAGACCGAGAGAUUUGAUUUU